Molecule: ribosomal RNA, 233 nt
Filed under: uncultured bacterium
Lineage: Bacteria
Description: partial 16S ribosomal RNA
Rfam family: Bacterial small subunit ribosomal RNA
Source: RNAcentral
CGGGACGGGUGAGUAAUGUCGGGGAAACUGCCCGAUGGAGGGGGAUAACUACUGGAAACGGUAGCUAAUACCGCAUAACGUCGCAAGACCAAAGAGGGGGACCUUCGGGCCUCUUGCCAUCGGAUGUGCCCAGAUGGGAUUAGCUAGUAGGUGGGGUAACGGCUCACCUAGGCGACGAUCCCUAGCUGGUCUGAGAGGAUGACCAGCCACACUGGAACUGAGACACGGUCCAG